Molecule: ribosomal RNA, 479 nt
Filed under: uncultured bacterium
Lineage: Bacteria
Description: bacterial SSU rRNA
Rfam family: Bacterial small subunit ribosomal RNA
Source: RNAcentral
GACGAACGCUGGCGGCGCGCCUAACACAUGCAAGUCGAACGAGCGAGAGAGAGCUUGCUUUCUCGAGCGAGUGGCGAACGGGUGAGUAACGCGUGAGGAACCUGCCUUUCAGAGGGGGAUAACAUUUGGAAACAGAUGCUAAUACCGCAUAAGAUUACAGUACCGCAUGAUACAGUGAUCAAAGGAGCAAUCCGCUGAAAGAUGGGCUCGCGUCCGAUUAGAUAGUUGGUGAGGUAACGGCUCACCAAGUCGACGAUCGGUAGCCGGACUGAGAGGUUGAACGGCCACAUUGGGACUGAGACACGGCCCAGACUCCUACGGGAGGCAGCAGUGGGAUAUUGCACAAUGGGCGAAAGCCUGAUGCAGCAACGCCGCGUGAGGGAAGACGGUUUUCGGAUUGUAAACCUCUGUUUUCGGUGACGAACAAAUGACGGUAACCGAGUAGGAAGCCACGGCUAACUACGUGCCAGCAGCCGCGG